This 253-nucleotide unclassified non-coding RNA is filed under the name Hevea brasiliensis (rubber tree). Lineage: Eukaryota; Viridiplantae; Streptophyta; Magnoliopsida; Malpighiales; Euphorbiaceae. The record is from RNAcentral.
AGAUAAACAUGGUAUUUACAUGGAAAAAUCCUGCAACAUUGACAUGCAUAAGUAGAAUGUUUAUUUAUAUAUAGAAGAAGGAUAUAUGUUCUACCAAGAUAAACAAGACGCUCACGAGUGUUUACACACCUUUGCUCAACCAAGACUGGAUUGCCACAUAAAACAAAAAUCACAAGCACAUUAGAUAAUAAAAAUGGCAUGCUUUUGCCAAAACACAUCGCAGUUUUCCAAUCUUGAUGCUGCUAUCUGAAAA